CUAGCAGUAUCAGAGUUUGAUCCUGGCUCAGAUUGAACGCUGGCGGCAGGCCUAACACAUGCAAGUCGAGCGGAUGAGUGGAGCUUGCUCCAUGAUUCAGCGGCGGACGGGUGAGUAAUGCCUAGGAAUCUGCCUGGUAGUGGGGGACAACGUUUCGAAAGGAACGCUAAUACCGCAUACGUCCUACGGGAGAAAGUGGGGGAUCUUCGGACCUCACGCUAUCAGAUGAGCCUAGGUCGGAUUAGCUAGUUGGUGAGGUAAAGGCUCACCAAGGCGACGAUCCGUAACUGGUCUGAGAGGAUGAUCAGUCACACUGGAACUGAGACACGGUCCAG
This 335-nucleotide ribosomal RNA is filed under the name uncultured bacterium. Its description in RNAcentral is "bacterial SSU rRNA". It matches the Rfam family "Bacterial small subunit ribosomal RNA", at positions 1 to 334 of the family's 1533-position model. The record is from RNAcentral.